Molecule: ribosomal RNA, 440 nt
Filed under: uncultured bacterium
Lineage: Bacteria
Description: partial 16S ribosomal RNA
Rfam family: Bacterial small subunit ribosomal RNA
Source: RNAcentral
CCUACGGGGGGCAGCAGUGGGGGAUAUUGCACAAUGGGGGAAACCCUGAUGCAGCGACGCCGCGUGUGGGAAGACGGUCCUCUGGAUUGUAACCCACUGUCCCCAGGGACGAAGAUGACGGUACCUGGGGAGGAUGCUCCGGCUAACACCGUGCCAGCAGCCGCGGUAAUACGUAGGGAGCGAGCGUUGUCCGGAAUUACUGGGGGAAAAGGGGGCGUAGGCGGGACUGAAAGUUGGGGGUAAAAUCUACCGGCUCAACCGGUAGCCGCACUCAAAACUGCAGUUCUUGAGUGAAGUAGAGGCAGGCGGAAUUCCUAGUGUAGCGGUGAAAUGCGUAGAUAUUAGGAGGAACACCAGUGGCGAAGGCGGCCUGCUGGGCUUUUACUGACGCUGAGGCUCGAAAGUGUGGGGAGCAAACAGGAUUAGAUACCCUUGUAGUC